CAAAGAGUAGUUUAAUGAAAAUAAUAAUUUUGGAGAUUAUUGAUAAUAUGGUUAUAUUUUCUUUGA
RNAcentral lists this transfer RNA (66 nucleotides) under Apsilochorema nigrum. Its description in RNAcentral is "tRNA-Pro". Lineage: Eukaryota; Metazoa; Arthropoda; Insecta; Trichoptera; Hydrobiosidae. The record is from RNAcentral.